GAUUAUGGUUGUUUGUGUUUCCAAGCAGACUUCUACUUCUUAACUACAUACUUAUAUUUCAUGCGGCCAUGUGUUUGUGUCCUUUAAAUCUUGGAAUAGGCUACUCAUAUCAUAUGUAUGAUAGAAAGAAUUCUUCCUUUUACCUUAGUAUAUAAACUGUAUUGGAAAAAAAUUAAAUUUAAAUUAAAAAUGAUGUGGCAUGAUACGUGGACUGGUCAAAUAGUCAAAGCGAAUAAUCGAGUAAAAGGCACGGGAGACAACAGAUACGGGAAGAGAAAUUUAAACAGGCAUGAGAAGGAGUUUAGACACGAGUCUCGUACCAAUUCAAGUCAUUUAAUGCCAAUGGAUCAAAAGGCAUUGAAGACAAGGAUCUGAAGACAAAAAGGAGUCCAAAUUCAGUAUUAAAUACCUGAUACGUUUGAGAAUUUAUAUUUAAUAGGAAUGAUUGUGUAACGGCUUAUUUAAUGUCAUUUAUUACUCAUAAUUGUAUCGUUAAAGCUUAGGUUUCAUUCCUUUACCUAGGAUCAACUAUAAAAGGAAAGAGUCUCAUAAUUUGUAAGGACACGGAAAAUCAACUACAUCAUAUUAAAAUACAAACUUGUUUAUUACUUUAUUCUUAUUCUCUGAAAGCCUAUUAUCUUUUUUUGGUCUCUUGACUAUCAGUAACCCGAUUUCUUAUCUUAAAUUCUAGCUUUGACCAAAAUAUUAUUUUUUGGUUAAACAAAUUGGUUCCGUUACCGGGAAUCUGAUAAUCCAUUCCUUUUUAGGUUACAUUAUGUUAACAUCAUGUCAAACAACAACGAUAACAACAAUCAGAAAAAUCUGAUCCAUCAAGUGGAGGUGGAUGAGCUCAAUAAUGUUAUGCCUCAAGCUUCUCCACGUGGAUCUCGAGAAGGAACUCCUAAUGAUAUGUCUGAACAUGUUGAUGGAGAAGUUGAAACAAGAAAUGAACUUCUCCAAAAAAUAAUUGAUGCACGAAUUGACAAAGCUUUGGAAGCUUUAAUUAGUCGAUUGCAUGUUGUGCCAGCAGCGCCUAAUAAUAACACGUUGGAAAACUCCCGCUCUGGUCUAGUUAAUUCUGGUAAUGGAGCAACCCCAGUGAUUCACAAGAAGGGGAACCAAGUAAUUCAGAUUACUCUCAUCUUCAAAAUUUAGUACUAACCUUGCAGAAACAGCUCACUGAGCAAAAUGAGCGUAUCGAGCAAAUCUCUGGAGUUCCGCCUGUAAUAAAAGGAGUAGACAUGGAUAAAUACUCACAACAACCUUGAAAACCAAGCACUGCUCCCCUACCAAUUCCGAAAAAAUUCAAAAUACCUGACAUCCCCAAAUAUGAUGGUACAACAGACCCACGUGACCACGUAAUUGCGUUUACAACAGGAGUGAAAGGCAACGAUUUGACCAAACAAGAAAUUGAAUCAGUAUUGUUCAAAAAUUUUGGGGAGACGCUCACCAAGGGUGCAUUAACCUGGUAUUCUUUUUUACCUGAAAAUUCUAUAAAUUCUUUUACUGAGAUUGCAGAUUCUUUUAUUAAAGCAAAAUCGAGAGCUCAUAAGGUCGAGAAAAGGAUGGAGGAUAUCUUCAAAAUCAAACAAAGAAACUCUGAGUUGCUCGGGGAUUUUGUUGAUAGAUUCCAACGUGAAAGAAUGACUUUGCCCCGUAUACCAGAUAACUGGCCGGCGAUAGCUUUUGCAAGUAAUUUGAACGAAAAAAGUUCAGAAGCCACGAGAAGGCUUAAAGCCUUCGUGAAUUUCCCGCAACCACUUAGAACGAUGUUUAUAAUAGGUACAGUACAAAGCUUAGAAUCGAAGAAGAUACCGUACCUCAAUAUCAUCAUGAAUAAAGGAGUGGGUCCAGGAGGUCAGAAGAUGAAAAAAGAUCAGGUAAGAAUAGGAACAAUCCAUAUAUGGGACCUGCAGGAAAAUAUUCAUGAUCUAGACAGAAUAACCAACGAUAUGAUCAAAGGUCAAGAGAUAGGAAAACCGGGUCUUCAUCUAGGUUCAGAGGCGAUCGAAGCAACCAAGAGACAUGAGAUGACGAUGGGAAUUUAAUGGCACGAUUUGCUGGUUAUAAUUUCAAUGUAACUAAUUCUGAGCUCGCAGCUUUUGUGAGGGGUAUGGGAGAUAAGGUACGGUGCCAAAAAAGAUACUGUCAAAUCCAAACAGACGUAACCGGACCAUUGGUGCAAGUUCCACAAUGACCACGGGCAUAAAACAUCAGAAUGUAGAUUCUACAAAGUGAAGUAGACCAUCUACUGAAGCAAGGAUAUCUCACAGAGUUGUUUAGUGAGAAGGGAAAACAGGCUUACAUGAAAAAUAGGCAGGAGCCACCAAAACCACCAUCACCUAAGAGAGCGGUGAACGUCAUCAGUGGAGGGGAAGAUAUUGGCGGAGUAACGUACACGGUUUCAAAUAAGGUUUCCAAAAUGACGAUCACACACGGGAAUUAUCGGUGGAGGGGAAGAUAUUUGUGGAGCAACGUACACGGCUUCAAACAAGGUUUCCAAAAUGACGAUCACACACGGGAAGCGAGUACGGUAAGCCUAAGAACACGAAAGCAUAAGCUUUGAUGAUGCAGAUACAGAAGGAGUGAUUACUCUCACAAUGAUGCAUUAGUAAUAUCCUUACUUAUACAUGACACUGAUGUAAACGAGUUUUGAUUGAUCCAGGAAGUUCUGCAAAUAUCAUUCUACUAAGGGUAUUGCUGGAAACGCAAGCUGAAGAUAAAAUGCUACCCAAGGCGCAUCUUUGUCAGGCUUCGACAAUUCAAGCGUGGUAACAAAAUGUGAGGUAAUUCUAACAACUUUUGCUGGAGGUGUUAUUAAAGAAACUAAAUUUCAGGUAGUUGAUAUGGAUAUGGCCUGCAACAUAAUCAUGGGGAGACCAUGGAUCCAUGAUAUGGAUGUUGUUCCAUCAACUUUGCAUCAAGUUAUUAAGUUUCCAUCACCCUGGGGAAUACAUCAAAUUCGAGGGGAUCAACAAGCAUCCAGGAAUAUCAACAUUGUAACAGAUACGAGUACCGUGAGUAAAGAGAAAUAACUAUUACAGGAAACAGUUGGAGGUGUCAACAAUCAAACUUCAACUCAACGAGAAAAAAGGGAUUUAGACUCAAGACCUGAUGUAAUUCAAGAACCUGAAGAAAAUGAGAACGUUAAAACAACAAUAGAAGAGCUCAAGAAUGUGGUGCUAUUUGAGCAAUGGCCUGAAAAAAAGGCUUACGUAGGAGCCAAUCUGAAUUCCGACAUGCGAGGUAUGUUAAUUGAAUUUUUAAAAGCUAACGUGGACUGUUUUGCUUGGUCCCACGCUGAUAUGACAGAAGUACCACCUGAUGUGAUGACUCACAAACUCAACGAGGACCCAUCUUUCACACCUAUAAAGCAAAAGAAAAGAAAGCAAGGUGCAUUCAAGAAUCAGGUAAUUCAAGAUGAAGUCCAAAAAUUAUUAAAGAAUAAAUCAAACUGUGAGGUAAUGUAUCCUAAUUGGUUAUCUAAUACAAUGGUCAUAACGGUAAGUGGCGUGUUUGUGUGGAUUAUACUGAUCUAAACAAAGCUUGCCCAAAAGACUCUUUCCCUUUACCACAUAUAGAUCAGUUAAUUGACGGAACCGCAAGUUAUGAACUUCUAAGUUUUUUAGAUGCAUAUUCGGGAUAUAAUCAAAUUAAAAUGGAUCCUGAUGAUGAGGAAAAAACUCACAUAAAGAUCAGUUAAUUGACGCAAUUGCAGGUCAUGAAUUUCUAAGUUUUUUAGAUGCAUAUUCGGGAUAUAAUCAAAUUAAAAUGGAUCCUAAUGAUGAGGAAAAAACUUAUUUCAUCACAGACAGGGGGACUUACUGUUAUAAAGUAAUGCCCAUUGGUCUCAAAAAUGUUGAAGCAACCUAUCAAAAGUUAGUCACCAAAAUGUCUCAAGAACAUUUAGGAAUAACUAUGGAGGUAUAUAUAGACGAUAUUCUCAUCAAAACCCAGCAUUCUCACGAUCAUAUUUCUCACUUAUCUAUUACAUUUGAAAUUUUANNNNNNNNNNNNNNNNNNNNNNNNNNNNNNNNNNNNNNNNNNNNNNNNNNNNNNNNNNNNNNNNNNNNNNNNNNNNNNNNNNNNNNCUUAUCUAUUACAUUUGAAAUUUUACGGAAAUUUAACAUGAAACUCAACCCAGAAAAGUGUGAAUUUGGAGUUGCUUCAGGUAAAUUCUUGGGUUUUCUUGUUUCUAACCGUGGCAUUGAAGUAAAUCCUUCUUAGAUUAAAGCAGUAGAAGAAAUACCUGAUAUCCUUACCAAUAAGAAGGAGGUUCAAAGAUUAACGAGAAAGAUUGCCGCCUUGGGAAGAUUUAUUUCUAAAUCUUCAGAAAAAUGUUUUAAGUUCUUCUCUGCUCUCAAAAAGCAAGACCAUUUUGAGUGGAACAAAUAUUGUCAACAAGCCCUUAGGAGCUUGAAAGCUUACUUAUCAAAUCCUCCAUUGAUGGCGAAACCAAAGGAAGGUGAAACAUUGCUUAUCUACUUAGCAGUAUCAAAAGUCGCGGUAAGUGCUGUUUUGGUACGAGAAGACCAAGGUAAGCAAUCCUCUAUUUAUUAUGUAAGCAAAUCUUUGCUGAGACACGAUAUCCACAAAUAGAAAAGUUAGCAUUAGCUUUGAUCAUGGAAUCUAGGAAAUUAAGACCUUAUUUUUUUUUCAAUGUCAUCCAAUUGUCAUUGUUACUUCUUUUCCAUUACGAAACUUUUUGCAUAAACAUGAAUUAUCAUGAAGAUUAGCAAAAUGGGCUAUAGAAUUAAGUGAGUAUGAAAUCAUUUAUCAGCCUAGGACUGCUAUAAAAUCCCAAGUUCUCGCUGGUUUCGUAGUGGAUUUUAGUCAAGGGAUGCAUUUAGAAGCAGGAAAAGAAUUACAAGUCUUUAAUGGAAUAAGCCCAGGAACUUGGAUUUUGUGUACUGAUGGUUCAUCUAAUGUAAAAGAAGCAGACUUAGGAAUUGUUCUUAAACCACCUACGGGUGAGACCAUUAGACAGGGUAUAAUAUAUCACCCUGUAACUAACAAUGAAGCAGAGUAUGAAGCUCCGAUUGCAGGUUUAGAGUUGGCACUGGAACUUGGCAUCACAGAAAUUAUAAUCAAAAGUGAUUCACAGCUUGUGGUAAAUCAAAUGCUAGGGACUUAUGUAGCCACGGAAACAAGAAUUCAAGAGUAUCUUGAAAAGGUACGAGAACUGAUAAGAUAGUUCAAAACUUGGAAGGUAAUGCAAAGCCCAAGAGAGGAAAUGCGGAGGUAGAUGCUCUAGCUAAUCUUGCAUCUGCGGUGACAUAGAAAAUGAUGCAAACGCUUCAAUCAUACAUUUAUUCCAUUCCGUUCUCGAAUCUGACAAAAAUGAGGUAAAUUUUAGUCACUUAACUUGGGAUUGGAGAAACGAAAUAGUAGCUUUUUUGCAGCAUGGAACCGUUCCUGAGGAUAAAAUAAAGGUUCAUGCACUUCGAAAGAAAGCUGCUUGUUAUUGCCUAUAUCAAGGAAACCUUUAUCGAAAAAUAUUUGGUGGACCACUAGCAAGGUGUCUCGUACCUUCUCAAAUGGAGUAUGUGAUGAGAGAAAUACAUGAGGGACAUUGUGGAAAUCAUGCAUGAGGCAUGUCACUCGUAAAGACAUUGAUUCGAGCAGGAUACUAUUGGCCAAAAAUGGAAGAGGAAGCAAAUGAUUUCGUGUCUAAAUGUGACAGAUGUCAAAUAUACGGUAAAAAUAUGCAUAUACCAGCCGAACUGUUACACCCUGUUGUAUCUCCGUGGCCCUUCAUGAAAUGGGGGAUGGAAAUCGUAGGUCCUUUACCACAAGUAAAUAGUCAGUUAAAGUUUUUACUCGAACUUACUGAUUAUUUCACUAAAUGGGUAGAAGAAGGGGCAUUCAAACAGGUACGAGGGAAAGAGGUCAAAGAUUUUAUUUGGAGAAACUUCAUAUGCGACUUUGGGGUAUCAAAGUAAAUCAUAUGUGAUAAUGGUCCACAAUUCAUAGGAGCACAAAUCACGAAGUUCUUCCAAAGUUGGCAAAUUAAAAGGAUAACCUCAACUCCAUAUCAUUCUGUAGGCAAUGGACAAGCGGAAUCCACAAACAAAGUCAUAAUCAAUAAUUUAAAGAAAAGAUUGCAAGACUCAAAAGAUAAUUGGCCUGAAGUGUUACCUGCGGUAUUAUGGGCGUAUUGAACAACGACGAAAACAAGCACGGGAGAAACACCAUUUUUAAUGGUUUAUGUAGCAGAGGCCUUAAUACUAGUGAAGAUAGGGGAACCAAGCACAAGGUACGUUGAAACAAUAGAAGACUCAAAUAAUGAAUAGUUACGAGUGAAUCUUGAUUUGCUCUAAGGAAGAAGAGAAGCGGCAUUAAUAAGGAUGGCAGCUCAAAAACAAGUAAUUGAACAAUACUAUAACAGGAAAGCACGUCUCAGAUUUUUCAAAAUUAGGGACUUUGUUCUCAAAAAGGUGUUCUAAUCUACGAAAGCUACUAACUCUGGAAAGCUAAGUCAAACGUGGGAAAGUCCAUAUCGAAUCCGUGACAUUGCAGGGAAAGGAACAUACGAGUUGGAGACAAUGGAUGGCAAGGUCCUACCUUCACAUUGGAAUAAUGUCCAUCUAAAGAGAUAUUAAUUCUAAGGGAGUGGUCGAAGUCAUGAGAAAAUCCUAACUCGUGCCAAAUGAUAAGUCACGACCUACACGACAAAAUGGAAUACUCUUAAAUUUUGAGCCUAGGGUUACAUUAAUCUGAUGGAAAUACACACGAGUUAGGCAGUCUUCAUCUAUAAUCGCACCUCUGAGUCCCGUAUAUUUUUCUAUUUAAGGAAAAGGACCAAACUCAGAGAAACAUACAAGUGCUCGAGGCGUCAUUCUUCACCGCUCAAACACUUGGGGGACUACAUAUUAUACACAGAUGCGUGUAGAAAAAUAUAUGUGAAUAUCACAAGAUACUAAUAUCGAACAAACGUUCAUCAAAGUUUUAGAGACAAGUGUUGAGAAGAAAUUACGAAGUAAUCAAUACUCAGCAUAAAAGGGCCCUCUUUUAUAAACCUCAUGUUGAUAUUCCAUGAGAAGAAUCAUAAAGCAUUUUCAAAAGAUAAAAAUGCUAAGCUAUUCUAUAAGUCCUAAAUAAGUAAAUAGACAGGAAUAGAGUAUUAAGAAGUAACCAUAAAAAACUUCUUAUCAUAAAAGACUAAGGAAAAACUUAGUCAUCGAAAUGUUAGUUUUACAAAUGCCCCAUUAUGGUCACUGGGAACUUCCCUUCAAAAAUGCUAAGGGAAAAUAUUAACAAUCACUAAAAAAAACUUAAUACAUUUAACUGGUCGAUGAAGAAAUCGGAGCUUCAGAAGUUGUAACAUUACUUUCAGAAGCAAUAACAGGUGCGGUCACAACUUCUGAAGAAGCAGCAAUAAGAACGGUUUCAACUAAGCUUGAAGCAUUAACAUCAACGAGGGAAGCAGUAGUCACAGGAAAUUCAAUUCCCAUGGACUGUGUCAUAGAGGUUUCACCCUCAGAAGCCGGAAUCACAACUUCAAGUACCUCAGUAACUACUUCAGAGUUUAAUAACUCAUCCGUUCCAGGAGCUUCAAGUGCCAGAGAAGGGGUAUCAACACUUCCAAGUGCAGGAGAAGGAGUAUCAGCAAGUUGUUUGCUUUUCUUGAUAGUAUCCAUGACUUUGUCCAAUUCAGAUUGCAAGUCAAAAUUUUCUUGUGUAGCCUCCAUCAAGGCAUCACGACGAGAAUAUAGAAAAGCCCAACUCACCUCUAUAUUAAAAUUUUCUUCAAGAGCAUUAUACUCCUUCUCCAAAGCAUUAUAUUCUUUUUCCCACAUAGCAAUAUCAUUUUUUUCAAUUUGGUGCUCAGCUAGGUGGGAAUCCAACAAAUCUUCAAGAGAGGCAUGGAACUUUCCAAGGCACGAAUUUUCUCUAAAGAAGUCCUCAGGUCAUUUUGAGCAUGAGUUGGGUUUCCAGCUAACUCUCUUGCGUAUUCUUCCUUCUUCUCCAAAAGUGCCUUAAGCUCUUUAAACUCAUCAUUGGCUUUAGAAAGAGAGCAUUCCAAAAGCUCUUUAUCCUUUUUAAGUUGGCCCCAAGAAGCAUUGGCAAUUCCCAACUCCAAAAAUAAGCUACGAUUUUGCUGCUCCAAGUGAGCCGUGCUCUCAUGUAACUCUUCUAUAGUCCCUUGGGCACUCUUGAAUUGAUCUUUCUAGUUUGCUGCCUCAAGUAAGGCAUCCUCAGCUAUUUUCCUAGCUUCAGAGAUGGCCUUAGUGGACUCACGCUCCUUUUUCUCUAACACAGAGACUCGCCCCAUCAGCUUAGUCCCAAUAAGAUUAGCCUACAGUUAUAAACAUAAAAGUAAAAAUUUAUAAGGAAAAAGAAGGAAAGCAUUUAAGGUUAAGAAAAUUACCUUUAAAGUUGAAUGAACUAUGUCAUUCAUCAAAGCAUAACAGCUUGGCUCUGCAUCUUUUCCCUCUCAAUCUCUCCAAUAAGAGGCUCGAGCCAAGUAUCUGCUCCUUUAGAUUUUCUUAAGAGGCUUUGAUUGGCAGGGACUUCGAAUGUGACACCCCUCAUAGUCAUGUCUCUAUUGCUGGAACUUACUUCUAUUGGAGAGGCAGAUAAAGAUGGAACAACAGAAGGGGGAGUGGUAGAAAAGGUAAACACCACAGGAGUCGUAGGAAUUGAGGCAGGAGCGGAAGGAGUAGGUGUAGAAAUUAACCCAGGAACGGAAGUAGAAGUAGUUAAAACUUGUGAAGGAACAGAAGCAAUCAAUGAUGGCAAUGAAACAUUUACGGUUGGCAAAGGAAUGGAGGAAGUAGGAACGAAUGAAGAGAGAUGGGCUUCAUAAAAAACAGGUCCGAGCUCGCCACUCCAAAAGCUACUAUCAAAAGGACGCUGAGUUGAUUCAUUCGUACCUCUUGGCACGGUGUCCACGUCUGAAGGAAUCAAAACAGCUCGAUGGCUGAAGUUUGAGCAGGAAUAUCUUCGAUUUCAUCAUCAUUGAUGACUCGUCUAAUAACCCUUGGCCUGGCUACUAACGAGGUACCUUCCUCUUCCCCAUUCUCCGAGCCUUCUCCUAUAGCUUUUCUUUUUUGAAGCAAGGCUCGAGCCUUGUCCAAAUCAAGUGCAGCAUUGCCAGACAUGCGAAUGGCCAUAGCAACAUCGGGUGCCAUUCCUUUGGAACCAAAUCCUGAUCAAAAGAAGGAUAUACAAUCAGCAUUGAGGAAAAGGUACUUAAUGUGUAAAAAGAUGAAACCGUGUGUUUUAACUUUCCAGUCCAUUCCUUUAGAACCAAAUCCGGAUCAAAAGAAGAAUAUAUAAUCAGCAUUAAGGAAAAGGUACUUAAUGUGUAAAAAAACAUGUAAAAAGAUGAUACCGUGUGUUGGAAAGUCAUGUAUGGCAGAAAUUGAUUUCCAAGUUCUUUGCUCCUUAGGAGCAAUCUUCAAAAUUGAAUUUACCCAACCACGAAAGUUGGGAAUAGGUUCCACAUCUCCCAUGGUUGCUAAAAGAAAACCAAAAAGAGACAAAGUCAGAAAAAAAUCAAAAUUCUCCAAAAAAAAAAGGUACGGUCCAAUAAAAAAGCUUACGUGCAAAAUUCUACUUCUCGAGGAAGGGAAUAUUUUUUUCACCAAGCAUGUCCACCGUACAUACAGCAACGUAACGGGCAUACCAUCCACGAUCUUUGUCAUCUUCUAGGCUUACAAAAACCUUGUUGCUUCUCGCGGUUAAGGUAAAAACCCCAUGGCGUAUUAAGUUAGGAUGGUGCAAAUGGAUGAAGUGAGAAAAGGAGAAGUUGAAGUUGGCUUUGGUAGAUAGAAAUCUUAAACAAGCCACUGCCCUCCACACUACAGGACCAACUUAGGCCAAAUAAAUAUCAAAGAAACGACAAAAAUCGAGAAUGAUCGAGUCAAUCGAAGGAUUAAAACCCAAAGUAAAAGGGUAAGUAUAAACAAAAGAAUACCCAAUCCUAAAAGAAGAGAUUCUUUGAUUUGGGGCAGGAAUAGAUAUUCGGAGACUAUUUUUCCAGUUACAAUCACUUCUAAUGGUAGGGAUUGUAAGUUCGGUCCCUAAAGUAGGAUAUGUAUUGGCCUUUUCUAAACCACCAAUUUUCUUUUCAAGAGAUUGUCUAUCACUCAUAAAAGACAAGUCACUGGGUACGAUUUCAUUCACUAAAGGUUCUCGGGAAGAAUAAGAGAUUUCUUUACCUUUAGAAGAAGGCGUUUUUGGAAUAGAACUCCUAGAAGAGGAACCAGAAGAGCCGCCUCGAGUAGAUUCUAACCCUGUUCGAAGUCUGCCACCUCAUAAGAGAUUUCUUUACCUUUAGAAGAAGGCGUUUUUGGAAUAGAACUCCUAGAAGAGGAACCAGAAGAGCCGUCUCGAGUAGAUUCUAACUCUGUUCGAAGCCAGACACCUCUGCCUUUUCUAUUUCUAACAGGGGCAUUGGGAAAUUUGUCUAAAAUUGGAACUCUUUUGGGGUUAGGGUUUGGAGAUGCCAUUGCUGAACAAAGUUGGAUCGAAACAGAGCACAAGUAAGGAAGAGAGUGUUUGCUUAUGAUUUGUGAAGAAGAAGACAAAGGAAGAAAAAGGUUAAGUAUGUAUACGAUGGCAACCGUCGAACUUAGAAGUGUAAUGAUUGGAAGCCUAUAAUAAAGGCAACUAUCACUUCGUGAAUAGAAGAAGCCUUGGAAAAGAGUGCAAAAUGGCAAAGUAAAUUAGAAAGUGACACAUGGACAGAAUAUUAAAUGGAAAAGACGACCGAGACGUCAAUACUGUCAAUUGAACAAAGUUGGAUCGAAAUAAAGCAAAAGUAAAGAAGAGAGUGUUUGCUAAAGAUUUGUGAAGAAGAAGACAAAGGAAGAAAAUGGUUAAGUAUGUAUACGAUGACAACCGUCAAACUUAGAAGUGUAAUGAUGGAAAGCCUAUAAUAAAGGCAACUAUCACUUCGUGAAUAGUGGAGUGAAGAAUUCUUGAAAAGGGGUGCAAAAUGGCAGAGUCAAUCAAAAAGUGACACAUGGACUGAACAUUAAAUGGAAAAGACAACCGAGACGUCAAUACUGUCAUAUGCAUUAAUUAUGGCAAAAAUUCUCUUUUUUAUGAAGAUCCACUUCCCAAUUAUUUAAUUGAUAAAUAAAUGGAAAGUGGGGGAACUAUUUGUAUUGGAAAAAAAUUAAAUUUAUAUUAAAGAUGAUGCGGCAUGAUACGUGGACUGGUCAAAUAGUCAAAGCGUAAUAAUCGAGUAAAAGGCACGGGAGAUGACAGAUACGGAAAGAGAAAUUUAAACAGGCAUGAGAAGGAGUUUAGAUACGAGUCUCGUACCAAUUCAAGUCAUUUAAUGCCAACGGAUCAAAAGGCAUUGAAGACAAGGANNNNNNNNNNNNNNNNNNNNNNNNNNNNNNNNNNNNNNNNNNNNNNNNNNNNNNNNNNNNNNNNNNNNNNNNNNNNNNNNNNNNNNNNNNNNNNNNNNNNNNNNNNNNNNNNNNNNNNNNNNNNNCAAAAAAGUCCAAAUUCAGUAUUAAAUACCUGAUACGUUAGAGAAUUGGUAUUUAAUAGGAAUGAUUGUGCAACAGCUCAUUUAAUGUCAUUUAUUACUC
This 11552-nucleotide long non-coding RNA is filed under the name Nicotiana benthamiana. RNAcentral describes it as "long non-coding RNA (NBEN_LNC017135)". Lineage: Eukaryota; Viridiplantae; Streptophyta; Magnoliopsida; Solanales; Solanaceae. The record is from RNAcentral.